Girardinichthys multiradiatus is the source of this 2541-nucleotide long non-coding RNA. RefSeq lists it as uncharacterized. The transcript is spliced from 2 exons. Lineage: Eukaryota; Metazoa; Chordata; Actinopteri; Cyprinodontiformes; Goodeidae. The record is from RefSeq and is a predicted model, not a curated record.
CUAUCAGGAAACAAACAUGACUACAAAACCCAAAGAAAUAGAAACACGUAACAGAAGAGUAAACAAACACAAAACAACAACAAAGUCCAAAAUGACAGAUCCUGACAAUUAUAUCACCGUUCAGUGUGGAUAUUUUUGUUAAAGAACCAAGAUUUGUUUCUUAGAAAUUUAGAGGUUGAAUUAGAUUUAAACUAAUUAAAAUAACAAUUGAUAUGUGUUCAAAGAACCUGUUCAUAAUCCAAAUAAGAAUGGUAAAUAAUUUUUUUUUAAAUAAAAUAAAAUGUUAAAGAUUGAUAUGCCAAGUUAGGAAUCAAUAAUCUUUUGAACAAUUGAUUCUUAUAGUUGUAAACUAGACAUCACAGUGGAUGAUUUUAAAAUGGAGUGAUGGACUGUUGACAUGGUGAUAAGGAAUGUUCAUUGCGAACGGCGAACGACGAGACAAACGUGAUGAUGUCACGGCUCAGUUAUUAUAGGAAAAAGCUUCUAAUUUAGCACUUUAUUUAAGUCAUACAUGUACAUUUAACUAUUAUUAAUAUAAAUAUUGGUUUGUGUCUCUGCUGGUAGUGCGUUACAGCCGAUCUGUGUUUAAGCACUCAUUAAAGUAAAGAUUACUUUAAUACACAACCCUAAACAAAUAAACUAGAAGAGGUCUGUUAGCACUCAUAUUCAAUGGCCUUUAGCAUUGGCUUAACAGGUAGCCUGCUAGUGUGGUAGAUUAAAACUUUGUUUUGUAGAUUGAAAGGGUUACUGUUGUUUUUACCAUAUGUGAAAGUGAAUUCUGUAUAAAUUGUUCUGGUCAUAAGGAAACAGUCAUUCCAAGCAGCCUGCAAAGCCUGUCCAGGAACAAGUUUAGAUAAGGAAAAGUUAUUGGUAUGAGCAAAGACUAAUGAACUUAUUAUUGUAGAAGCGAGCAUGUAGGCCGGAUAGAAACAGUCCAGCAGAAAAAAAUUAUUAUUAUAUCAGGUUGCAAUGACAUUAGAGUUCAGUGUGCCAGAAGAUGCGCGUAAGUGUAAAUGGUACAUAAGUUUGGUCAUGAGUUUCCCAUUCACAACAAUGAUAUGACUUUUGUAUAAAUUCCCUGUAAGAGCUGAAGGUUGGAAAUUUGUGGGAAUCUUGAUGAAGUUUUUUUGGUGCACUGCGAACAAAUAUGGUUCCCCCAUGGAGACUGGGAGGAGAAAGGAGAAAGUUUUGUGUUUAAUUGUAUUGUCACACUCUUUCACACUAGCACUCAAAUUGUGUAGCUUUUAGCAACACAAGCAAAGCAAAAUACAAUGAAAUAAACAAUAUUAAGAUUGUUUUCCCUUAAACCUAUUUUAUUUGCCCAGACACCACCUCUUAUGUAAGCGUUCUAAAGAAUAGGGGGACAGGAGGGGGCAAAGGGUUGUGUGGCGGGUGAUAAAUGAAGUAAACAGCUUGGGGUAACUUCGGCUCGCCGGAUCAGCAUGCAGGAAGGCGUGCGAUGCUCACAGUUCCUAUGCUAUCUUCUCUCAGGGCAGUAGAAGGUUGAGGCUGCUUCACUCGACAUAAUUAGAGACACCAGGCCCUCUGGAGGAAUUUCUAGCUCUGAUUUUUUUUAUUUUCCCUUCUGAUUUACAUUGUGAAAUAGUUUUAAAACUAAUUUGGUCUCACUUCAAAUUCCUCGAAACAAACCCUGGUUCUGAAAAUACCUAUUCACAUUAAACUAUGAUGUCACUACAUCAUUUUAUUGGUUAUUGGUUUCAGUUUUAUUCUUACGUUCCUUUUUUAAUUAGUGUUCCUUAUUUCAUUAGUUUACUUAAUUCAGUUGAAUGUUAUUAUAGUUAAAGAGUUUGUUGACAAAAGGACAACCCCAAUUUCCAAGUUGUGACAUUGUGUAAAAUGUAAAUAAAAACAGAAUACAAUGAUUUGACAAUCCUUUUUCAACUUAUAUGCAUUUGAAUACACUACAAAAACAAGAUAUUGAAUGUUCAUGUCAUGGUCUUGGGUGUGUUUGUGUGCUGUGCCUGCUUUUAACCGUGUUCCACCAGGUGCCGCCGGGGUUUUGAGUGAGGGCACAACAGGUGUGGCUCGUUUCUGUGAUCAGCUGGAGGGCUACAAGAGGAUUGCCAACACCUCUUUGGCUGAGUGUUUUGCCAACUGUGGUACAACAAUCUGGCCUGAUCCUUGCUCUAAUCAUUUUGAAUCUUGAAGUGUUGAGAAUCUUGACUUCCCUCUUUGUUUGAUCACCUAGGAACCAAGCCAAGCCAUGUUCCUUAAAGGAGAAGAGACCAUAGCUGAACCCGAACCUGAAGAAUCCCAGGAUCAUGUUACCAGCUUUAAGUCCUCCUCGAACCAAGCAUUCCAUGCGCGUCGAAGCAAACCCGGUCCACCCUCCAGCGGCCCACCACGUACUGUCCACAGAAGCUCCAGGCGGUUACCCUGCGCAGCCUCUCCACAAUCCUCAGACUCGACAGCCAUCUCCCUGGCAGGUCAAGCCGCUCCCGAACAUCCCCUGUUUCCUGUUGAUGGUCACACCUCGUCCAUUAUUCCAGUCUUUUAAGAAAAUAAACAACCUAAAUGGUC